UAUACAGGGGAAUAGCCCGAAGAAAUUCGGAUUAAUGCUCCAUGGUUUAUCGAUAUGGCAUCGUAUUGAUAAUAAAGAUUUAUCGGUAUAAGAUGGGCAUGCGUAUCAUUAGCUAGUUGGUGUGGUAACGGCAUACCAAGGCAACGAUGAUUAGGGGUCCUGAGAGGGAGAUCCCCCACACUGGUACUGAGACACGGACCAGACUCCUACGGGAGGCAGCAGUGAGGAAUAUUGGUCAAUGGAGGCAACUCUGAACCAGCCAUGCCGCGUGCAGGAUGACGGUCCUAUGGAUUGUAAACUGCUUUUGUACAGGAAGAAACCUCCCUACGAGUAGGGACUUGACGGUACUGUAAGAAUAAGGAUCGGCUAACUCCGUGCCAGCAGCCGCGGUAAUACGGAGGAUCCGAGCGUUAUCCGGAAUUAUUGGGUUUAAAGGGUUCGUAGGCGGCUUUGUAAGUCAGUGGUGAAAUUUCCUAGCUUAACUAGGACACUGCCAUUGAUACUGCAGAGCUUGAAUAAUAUGGAAGUAACUAGAAUAUGUAGUGUAGCGGUGAAAUGCUUAGAUAUUACAUGGAAUACCAAUUGCGAAGGCAGGUUACUACGUAUUUAUUGACGCUGAUGAACGAAAGCGUGGGGAGCGAACAGGAUUAGAUACCCUGGUAGUCCACGCCGUAAACGAUGGAUACUAGCUGUUCGGUUUUCGGACUGAGUGGCUAAGCGAAAGUGAUAAGUAUCCCACCUGGGGAGUACGUUCGCAAGAAUGAAACUCAAAGGAAUUGACGGGGGCCCGCACAAGCGGUGGAGCAUGUGGUUUAAUUCGAUGAUACGCGAGGAACCUUACCAGGGCUUAAAUGUAGAUUGACAGAUUUGGAAACAGAUUUUUCUUCGGACAAUUUACAAGGUGCUGCAUGGUUGUCGUCAGCUCGUGCCGUGAGGUGUCAGGUUAAGUCCUAUAACGAGCGCAACCCCUAUUGUUAGUUACCAGCGCGUAGUGGCGGGGACUCUAGCAAGACUGCCGGUGCAAACCGUGAGGAAAGUGGGGAUGACGUCAAAUCAUCACGGCCCUUACGUCCUGGGCUACACACGUGCUACAAUGGCAAGUACAGAAAGCAGCUACCUGGCAACAGGAUGCGAAUCUCCAAAGCUUGUCUCAGUUCGGAUUGGAGUCUGCAACUCGACUCUAUGAAGCUGGAAUCGCUAGUAAUCGGAUAUCAGCCAUGAUCCGGUGAAUACGUUCCCGGGCCUUGUACACACCGCCCGUCAAGCCAUGGAAGCUGGGGGUACCUGAAGUCGGUGACCGCA
This 1302-nucleotide ribosomal RNA is filed under the name uncultured Myroides sp. RNAcentral describes it as "bacterial SSU rRNA". It matches the Rfam family "Bacterial small subunit ribosomal RNA", at positions 132 to 1438 of the family's 1533-position model. The record is from RNAcentral. Lineage: Bacteria; Pseudomonadati; Bacteroidota; Flavobacteriia; Flavobacteriales; Flavobacteriaceae.